Long non-coding RNA from Numida meleagris (helmeted guineafowl), 1001 nucleotides. RefSeq lists it as uncharacterized. The record is from RefSeq and is a predicted model, not a curated record. The transcript is spliced from 3 exons. Lineage: Eukaryota; Metazoa; Chordata; Aves; Galliformes; Numididae.
AAGAGCUGAUGGGGGAAAACAGCACGCGGUUUCACGAGGUGGUGCUCAGGCUGCAGCCGUGUUCUAGCUCAGCAAACUUCCGGGUGUUCCGAGGAGCUGUGUGUGUGCAGCGUUUGCGCUGGGGCACGGUUACAGCCGUACCACUGAGAGGCUGACGUGGUUUUUCCUCACGUUCUGGUUUAUGUCAGAAAUGCUGUCCGGGAAGCAAGGGAGAAAUCUGGGAAUUCGGACUAGCCGCUCCUAGUGGUCUCUCCAACCUUGUUUCUAAGAGUUGGAUGUGACAGCAGAACUCUGUUUUUCCUGUUUUCUCCUCUCGUGCCUGUCCCGUGCUGCCACCUGAGCCAUGUCUCCCUGUUGGUCGCCCCGCAGGUGACGUUCCGCGGGGCCGUGCUGCCAGCAAUGCUCGCUGAGCCCGUGCGAGGAGAUCUCACCGGGACUGCUGGCGUCAUCCCAGAGAGACCCUUUGCAGACUGACUCCACGUCCUCAGAGCUGAUCUGAUUGGGGCCUACCAAAUACAUUAACGACGUCGAAAGUAGCCUACUUUAAGAGAAAAUAUGCAGAAGAAGAACAUCUACAUCAAGAUUACCAUGAGUACUGUCCAAAACACCUGAUACUCCCUGAGGACCGGACUUGUAUUCUAAAACUUUCUCUCCAGAAACUCCGAUUCCUGGAAGAUCCCGAAGCCUAUCUCCGUAGGUCGGUGUUAAUUAACAAUCUGUUGAGGAAGAUUCACCUAGAGACAGAGAGGGAGAGCUAUGAAUACUUUAAGGAGGCUCCGUGCUAUAGGACUGCUUACUCUGACUCACGAAAACGGCUGAAGUUUAUGGUCCACGAGUGCUGUUCCCAGUCGCUCUAUUAUGAAGAGCUGCAUUCGUAUCGCAUUGUGCCUUAUUCUGCAGAGAACGCCGUUUAUGGAAUGGGCUACGCAAGCGGCCACCUGGAGCAAAAUUCUCAAUUGCUUAUUUAUAAAAUGAAUUAAAGUAGCUGUUAGACCCACCGA